UCUGUCGACACGGGAGAGACUGGCCCCGCGCCAGCGCCGAAGGAGCAACCGCCCCGGAAACUCUCAGGCCAAAGGACCGGUUGACCAA
Molecule: non-coding RNA, 88 nt
Filed under: Komagataeibacter nataicola
Lineage: Bacteria; Pseudomonadati; Pseudomonadota; Alphaproteobacteria; Acetobacterales; Acetobacteraceae
Description: Glycine sequence
Rfam family: Glycine riboswitch aptamer
About the family: This family represents the bacterial glycine riboswitch. Glycine riboswitches usually consist of two metabolite-binding aptamers domains with similar structures in tandem.
Source: RNAcentral